RNAcentral lists this signal recognition particle RNA (256 nucleotides) under Thermodesulforhabdus norvegica. RNAcentral's name for it is "Bacterial large signal recognition particle RNA". It matches the Rfam family "Bacterial large signal recognition particle RNA". From Rfam's summary of the family: The signal recognition particle (SRP) is a universally conserved ribonucleoprotein involved in the co-translational targeting of proteins to membranes. Archaeal SRP consists of a 7S RNA and homologues of the eukaryotic SRP19 and SRP54 proteins. In most bacteria, the SRP consists of a 4.5S RNA and the Ffh protein (a homologue of the eukaryotic SRP54 protein). The record is from Rfam by way of RNAcentral. Lineage: Bacteria; Pseudomonadati; Thermodesulfobacteriota; Syntrophobacteria; Syntrophobacterales; Thermodesulforhabdaceae.
UUGUGCUAGGCGGGGAGUUAGCGGUGCCCUGUACCCGAAAUCCGCUCAGCGGGGCCGAACUCCCUCCCGAGGGCAUGGGCCUGAAGAUAAGGCCACUGCUCUCACGGCACACCGGACACCACGUAACGGGCAGGUGUGAACCCCGUCAGGUCCGGAAGGAAGCAGCGGUAAGCACUGGCGUCCGUGUCGUGGUUCACUCUGGUGGAGCCGGGAGAUGCAACCUUAUCGGAUGCCCUGCUCGACGGAGGGUGCACAA